This 964-nucleotide ribosomal RNA is filed under the name Filifactor alocis. RNAcentral describes it as "bacterial SSU rRNA". It matches the Rfam family "Bacterial small subunit ribosomal RNA", at positions 28 to 993 of the family's 1533-position model. Lineage: Bacteria; Bacillati; Bacillota; Clostridia; Peptostreptococcales; Filifactoraceae. The record is from RNAcentral.
GAUGAACGCUGGCGGCGUGCUUAACACAUGCAAGUCGAACGAACGACUAUUAACAGAACCUUUCGGGGCGAAGAUGAUAGAAGUUAGUGGCGGACGGGUGCGUAACGCGUGGGUAAUCUGCCUUUGUCAAAGGAAUAACUAUUCGAAAGAAUAGCUAAAACCGUAUAACAUAUUAAUAGGGCAUCCUAAUAAUAUCAAAACUGAGGUGGACAAAGAUGAGCCCGCGUCUGAUUAGCUAGUUGGUGAGAUAAAAGCCCACCAAGGCAACGAUCAGUAGCCGACCUGAGAGGGUGAACGGCCACAUUGGAACUGAGACACGGUCCAAACUCCUACGGGAGGCAGCAGUGGGGAAUAUUGCACAAUGGGGGGAACCCUGAUGCAGCAACGCCGCGUGAGUGAAGAAGGCAUUCGUGUCGUAAAACUCUGUAGUAGGGGAAGAAAGAAAUGACAGUACCCUAAAAGAAAGCCCCGGCUAACUACGUGCCAGACGCCGCGGUAAUACGUAGGGGGCAAGCGUUAUCCGGAAUAACUGGGCGUAAAGGGUGCGCAGGUGGUUUAACAAGUUAGUGGUGAAAGGCAUAGGCUCAACCAAUGUAAGCCAUUAAAACUGUUUAACUUGAGUGCAGGAGAGGAAAGUGGAAUUCCUAGUGUAGCGGUGAAAUGCGUAGAUAUUAGGAGGAAUACCAGUGGCGAAGGCGACUUUCUGGACUGCAACUGACACUGAGGCACGAAAGCGUGGGGAGCAAACAGGAUUAGAUACCCUGGUAGUCCACGCCGUAAACGAUGAGUACUAGGUGUCGGGUGAAGAACUCGGUGCCGAAGUUAACACAUUAAGUACUCCGCCUGGGGAGUACGCUCGCAAGAGUAAAACUCAAAGGAAUUGACGGGGACCCGCACAAGCAGCGGAGCAUGUGGUUUAAUUCGAAGCAACGCGAAGAACCUUACCUAAACUUGACAUACCAAU